UCUGGUGAUUCGGCGCUAUGGAACCACCCGUUCUCAUUCCGAACACGGAAGUUAAACGUAGUAGCGGCGAUGAUAGUCUCUAUGGGGCAAAAGUAGCUAGUCGCCAGAA
This 109-nucleotide ribosomal RNA is filed under the name Minisyncoccota bacterium. The record is from RNAcentral. Lineage: Bacteria; Bacillati; Minisyncoccota.